Molecule: long non-coding RNA, 331 nt
Filed under: Cricetulus griseus (Chinese hamster)
Lineage: Eukaryota; Metazoa; Chordata; Mammalia; Rodentia; Cricetidae
Description: lncRNA (ENSCGRG00000025065.1)
Source: RNAcentral
CCCACAGAUGACUGCUGCCAUCAGACUGUCCAGUAGAAAUGCUUCUUAUAGCUGUGGAGGUUACAUCAGAGAUUCCAAGUGGUUGGACUGCUAAAUCUGUGGACAACUGGUCCUCUAAAUUUAGUCAAGCAUACAUACCCUGGACUGUAUUUUCUGUGUCCCCACAAAUUGGACUGACUUCUUGGAACCACUUGAAGUACAGUGGUGUCUUCCAGUGCUGUGGGCAAUUGGAAAGCACAAAGCCAAGCAGUGAUGACCUGGGGCCUGUCCCAAACUCCCUAAGAAAUGUAGGUACCGUUUUGUCCACAUUGUUUCGUUUCUCUGACAGAUG